UCCCCAGCUGGAAAAGGGCUGGGACCCGGUGGCGGUGGGAGCGGGAGACCUGGGCCCGGCCGCUGCGGGGCGCUCUGCCGGGAAGGCCCGCGGCGGUGCCUUGAAUCACCGAGUGAGAGACAGACUGGUUCCUUUUAGUAAGAGUGAAAAAAAAGAAAAAAAAAAAAAAAGGCAAUUUAAACGAACGAUUACAAGUUGGGAGUGGCCGGGUUCCUACACCAAAGGACUUGAUGGCUGCUGCUGGGCCCUCAGCCCCUCCAUCGCCUCUUCAGGCCGAGGUUCCCACCUUUGUGCCAUCUGUUUCCUGUUGGUACCUUGGCUGACAUCAGCAAAAAUUAACUCCAAAACAUUUAAUGUGGAAGACUAGGCCUGGCUUGAUCAACACCACUGCUGUCCUCCACUUAGUUGUGCAAUGAGCAGUACUGUCUGUAAGUGACCUUGAACAAUUACCCAGAAUCCACUGUCAUGGUAUUCCACACAGCAUUGCUUUUGAUUGAGGAACUGCAAAAGUGCAGCACUGGGCCCACGCUCAUGGAAUUCACUGGCCUUACCAUAUUCCCCCUGUCAUCCUGAAGCAGCUGGCUUGAUGGAACAGUGGAAUGGCCUUUGGAAGACUCAGUUACUUUGUAGGCCUAGGGCAAGGUUAUCCAGAUGGUUGUACAUGCUCUGAAUCAGCAUCCAAUAUAUGGUAUUGUUUCUCCCACAGUCAGGAUUCAUACAUCCAGGAAUCAAGGAGUGGAAAUGGAAGUGGCACAACUAUUACUACCUUAAUGACCCACUGGAAAAAUUUUGCUUCCUGUUCCCAUGUCCUUAUGCUCUGUUAGCCUAGAGGUCUUAGUUCCAGAGGGAGGAAUGCUUCUACGAGGAGAUACAACAAUGAUUCCAUUGAACUGGAUGUUAUGAUGGCCACCGAGCCACUUUGAACCCCAUACUUCUGAAUCAACAGGCAAAGAUGGGACUUAAAGUGUUGGCUGGGGUGAUUGGCCCUGACUACCAAGGGGAAAUUGGGCUACUACUCCGCAACAGAGGUAAAGGAGAGUAUAUCUUGUAUAUAGGAGACCCCUUAGGGCUUCUGUUAGUAUUACCAGACCCUGUGAUUAAGGUCAAUAGAAAACUACCAAAACCCAAUCCAGGCAGGACUACUAAUGGCCCAGACCCUUCAGGAAUGAAGGUUUAGGUCACCCCACCAGAUAAAAAAC
Molecule: long non-coding RNA, 1199 nt
Organism: Physeter macrocephalus (sperm whale)
Lineage: Eukaryota; Metazoa; Chordata; Mammalia; Artiodactyla; Physeteridae
Exons: 4
Source: RefSeq, a predicted model, not a curated record